RNAcentral lists this ribosomal RNA (253 nucleotides) under uncultured bacterium. Its description in RNAcentral is "partial 16S ribosomal RNA". It matches the Rfam family "Bacterial small subunit ribosomal RNA", at positions 524 to 776 of the family's 1533-position model. The record is from RNAcentral.
UACGUAGGGGGCGAGCGUUGUCCGGAAUUAUUGGGCGUAAAGGGCUCGUAGGCGGUCUGUCACGUCGGGAGUGAAAACUCAGGGCUUAACCCUGAGCCUGCUUCCGAUACGGGCAGACUAGAGGUAUGCAGGGGAGAACGGAAUUCCUGGUGUAGCGGUGAAAUGCGCAGAUAUCAGGAGGAACACCGGUGGCGAAGGCGGUUCUCUGGGCAUUACCUGACGCUGAGGAGCGAAAGUGUGGGGAGCGAACAGG